GCUGAGCAGUUGAUGAACACAUCAGGGCAAAGAAUGAGAAGAAGAUUAAUUUCAUUGAGUUAUAUUGGUGCAAUGAAAUCAAAAAAUCUCAAUAUGAGGCGGAUCUAUUUCUGCCCCAUUGCCCUACAGCUCCACCAUUGCAAAGUACCAGUGACCGGACAUGGCCGGGCCACCCCGCAUUCUGGAUAGCACAGGCUGGAGCAAGUCAUCUUUCUGGGAUGGAGGUAAUAGGAAAUAUGUUUCCCAUGAAUCCACCAGUGCCUGCACCUAAAUAACUACACAAGAUAAUUAUGGAAGAACACCCUGAUCCCUCAUACAAAAUCACAUGAGUAAAAGCAAGAUUCAGUCUUCAAUGAAAAUAGCCCCUACUGUCACAUCUCUAGAGGUCGAAAGCAAUUGAGUGUAAUUGGACUUACCGAGUUCACCGAGGAGAUGAAGUCCGGAGAA
This is a long non-coding RNA of Mauremys mutica (yellowpond turtle), 447 nucleotides long. RefSeq lists it as uncharacterized. The record is from RefSeq and is a predicted model, not a curated record. Lineage: Eukaryota; Metazoa; Chordata; Testudines; Geoemydidae. The transcript is spliced from 3 exons.